Molecule: unclassified non-coding RNA, 333 nt
Filed under: uncultured fungus
Lineage: Eukaryota; Fungi
Description: partial contains 5.8S ribosomal RNA, internal transcribed spacer 2, and large subunit ribosomal RNA
Source: RNAcentral
AACGCAUAUUGCGCCCAAGGUCUCGGCCAAGGGCAUGUCUGCCUCAGCGUCGGCUUACACCCUCGCUCUCCUCUCCAUUGUGAGCAGUCAGAGCGGAUCUGGCCUUCUCGGGAGUUGACUGCCAUUACUGGCAGUCAAGCCGGGUUGGCUGAAGCACAGAGGCUUGAGCAUGGACCCGUUUGCAGGGCAAUAGCUUGGUAGGUAGGAUUCCCUACACACCGCUUUUGGCCGAGGGAUCUUUGCUGGGAGCCUAGCAGGAACCAGAGUCCCGCCUUGGUGGGCUCUGAACCAAACUUCGACCUGAGCUCAGGCAAGAUUACCCGCUGAACUUAA